GACGAACGCUGGCGGCGUGCUUAACACAUGCAAGUCGAACGAUGAAGCUGGAGCUUGCUCCGGUGGAUUAGUGGCGAACGGGUGAGUAACACGUGAGCAAUCUGCCCUUCACUCUGGGAUAACUGCGGGAAACUGUAGCUAAUACCGGAUACGAGGCUUGGAGGCAUCUCCAGGUCUGGAAAGAAUUUCGGUGAAGGAUGAGCUCGCGGCCUAUCAGCUUGUUGGUGAGGUAAUGGCUCACCAAGGCGACGACGGGUAGCCGGCCUGAGAGGGUGACCGGCCACACUGGGACUGAGACACGGCCCAGACUCCUGCGGGAGGCAGCAGUGGGGAAUAUUGCACAAUGGGCGAAAGCCUGAUGCAGCAACGCCGCGUGAGGGAUGAAGGCCUUCGGGUUGUAAACCUCUUUUAGCAGGGAAGAAGCGAAAGUGACGGUACCUGCAGAAAAAGCACCGGCUAACUACGUGCCAGCAGCCGCCGCAG
RNAcentral lists this ribosomal RNA (483 nucleotides) under uncultured bacterium. RNAcentral describes it as "partial 16S ribosomal RNA". It matches the Rfam family "Bacterial small subunit ribosomal RNA", at positions 28 to 523 of the family's 1533-position model. The record is from RNAcentral.